GCUCUAGUGGUGCAAUUGGUUAGCAUAUAGUACUUGUAAUGCUGAGGUUGUGAGUUUGAUCCUCACCUAGAGCA
Alligator sinensis (Chinese alligator) is the source of this 74-nucleotide non-coding RNA. NCBI's taxonomy places the organism in Eukaryota, Metazoa, Chordata, Crocodylia, Alligatoridae. The record is from the annotation of a RefSeq genome assembly.